RNAcentral lists this ribosomal RNA (468 nucleotides) under uncultured bacterium. RNAcentral's name for it is "partial 16S ribosomal RNA". It matches the Rfam family "Bacterial small subunit ribosomal RNA", at positions 28 to 507 of the family's 1533-position model. The record is from RNAcentral.
GACGAACGCUGGCGGCGUGCUUAACACAUGCAAGUCGAACGGAAAGGCCCUGCUUUUGUGGGGUGCUCGAGUGGCGAACGGGUGAGUAACACGUGAGUAACCUGCCCUUGACUUUGGGAUAACUUCAGGAAACUGGGGCUAAUACCGGAUAGGAGCUCCUGCUGCAUGGUGGGGGUUGGAAAGUUUCGGCGGUUGGGGAUGGACUCGCGGCUUAUCAGCUUGUUGGUGGGGGAGUGGCUUACCAAGGCUUUGACGGGUAGCCGGCCUGAGAGGGUGACCGGCCACAUUGGGACUGAGAUACGGCCCAGACGCCUACGGGAGGCAGCAGUGGGGAAUAUUGCACAAUGGGCGGAAGCCUGAUGCAGCAACGCCGCGUGCGGGAUGACGGCCUUCGGGUUGUAAACCGCUUUCGCCUGUGACGAAGCGGGAGUGACGGUAAUGGGUAAAGAAGCACCGGCUAACUACGUG